This 510-nucleotide ribosomal RNA is filed under the name uncultured bacterium. Its description in RNAcentral is "partial 16S ribosomal RNA". It matches the Rfam family "Bacterial small subunit ribosomal RNA", at positions 28 to 507 of the family's 1533-position model. The record is from RNAcentral.
GACGAACGCUGGCGGCGUGCUUAACACAUGCAAGUCGAACGAAAAGCGAUGGACGCUUGCUUCUAUCCAUCUUAGGGGCGGACGGGUGAGAAACGCGUAAUCAACCUUCCCUUCAGAGGGGGACAACAGUAGGAAACGACAGCUAAUACCGCAAACGAUCCGACCUCGGCAUCGAGGAGGGAUGAAAGGGGGCCGCGAUUGAUAAGCGCUCACUGGAGGAGGGGAGUGCGUCUGCUCAGCUAGUUGGAGGGGCAACGGCCCACCAAGGCAAGGAUCAGGAGCCGGUCUGAGAGGAUGGACGGCCACCUUGGGACUGAGACACGCCCCAGACGCCUACGGGGGGCAGCAGGGGGGAAUCUUCCGCCAUGGACGAAAGUCUGACGGCGCUACGCCGCGUGAGUGAUGACGGCCUUCGGGUUGUAAAGCUCUGUUAAUCGGGACGAAAGGUCUUCUUGCGAAUAGUUAGCAGAAUUGACGGUACCGGAAUAGAAAGCCCCGGCUAACUACGUG